Molecule: transfer RNA, 71 nt
Filed under: Amphiamblys sp. WSBS2006
Lineage: Eukaryota; Fungi; Microsporidia; Amphiacanthidae
Rfam family: tRNA
About the family: Transfer RNA (tRNA) molecules are approximately 80 nucleotides in length. Their secondary structure includes four short double-helical elements and three loops (D, anti-codon, and T loops).
Source: Rfam by way of RNAcentral
GCGCCAUUAGUUUAGUGGUAAAAUGACUGCUUGCCAAGCAGUAGGCCCGAGUUCGAUUCCCGGAUGGCGCA